Molecule: transfer RNA, 76 nt
Filed under: Sphingobacteriales bacterium TSM_CSM
Lineage: Bacteria; Pseudomonadati; Bacteroidota; Sphingobacteriia; Sphingobacteriales
Also listed under: 1 other name
Description: tRNA-Arg
Rfam family: tRNA
About the family: Transfer RNA (tRNA) molecules are approximately 80 nucleotides in length. Their secondary structure includes four short double-helical elements and three loops (D, anti-codon, and T loops).
Source: RNAcentral
GGUCCCGUAGCUCAGUGGAUAGAGCAACUGCCUUCUAAGCAGUAGGCCAUUGGUUCGAGUCCAAUCGGGAUCACCU